GAGUGGAGAGAGGGAGGAGAAAGGAGAGCAGAGAGAGGUAGGAGAGCAGAAAGCGGGAGGGGAGUGGAGAGCGGGAGGAGAUUGGAGAGCGGGAGGAGAGUGGAGAGAGGGAGGAGAGCGGAGAGAAAAGGAACGAGGCAGUCGGCUGAUUCACCACCACCCCAUGCACCCAUCCCUCCUUUCUCUUUAUUGUCUUCUGCUUCAGUGAUGGGGUGGUGGAGGUGUGUGGGAAAGGAUCCCCCCUCCACACACACACACACACACACACACACAGACUGCUGCUCUUCAUCCCUUCCACCUGCCUCCAUCUCUCCUCUUUCUCCCAGUGUCAUCACUACCUCCACCUGUAUCUUAUUCCCUCUCACUCCAUCCAUCCAGCCAUCCUUCUUUUUUUCUCUCCAGCCCCCACGCCCUUCUAACCCACACACUCUGUGUCACCACCGUGGUGAAGAAAAUGAUCAGCCAACAAGCUGGAAGAGGUAGAGGAGAGGAAAAAGAGUGGAGAAAGAGAGGAAGAGUGAGCUCUGUCCAUUCAAAAUACUCCAGACGUUCCAGUUUCCUCUAUGGAUUACCCAGAGCCCCAUGGACGGAUGGAGGAGUGGAGGAGAAAAGAAAAAGACCAAUAGAGAAGAGAGAAGAAAGGAAUUGCACUCCGGACUGCCAGUCCGUGUGACAGCCGGAGUGUUUUAGUGUGAGUGUGUGUACGGCGUAACCAACCCAUUCUGCAGUAGAGCCGCAGAGCACAGGGGGAGCCUGAGUUAUUACAUGUCUUAGUCAGACCACGCCCCAGUUCACCUUCACCUGUUUUUGGAGUCUGCACGGCUUCUGUCGGAACAGGAUGAGAUGCAGGAGAAACGGAGGGAUCAGGAGACUGAGGUGUGAAGGAAGCCUGGAGCGACUUCACCCUCUUCUUCAUUCUCUCAGAGACUCUGGCCACGAUUGUGACGGCAUUCUAAUUUCUACAUCCAGAUCCUUUUCUUCACGCUGUGGUGCGUCUCUCCUCCACCUGCAGCAGCUGUUCAAUCAGCAGCUUCACUGGAGUGCAUAGGUAGAGGUCAAAGCUCAAAACUCAAAACUAACGUUCUUUACAAUCUCCUACACCACGGAAACACACGUGCACACACACACGUGCACACACACACACACAUGAAUUAAAGUCCUGUGUAGGUCUAUAAAUGCCAGUGGGGUGUAGGGACACCUAUCACCUGUUUAUGAUGAAAGUAGUGAAUGUGAUUGUGUGUGCACUGAGACUUCAUUGCAGCUGGACCACAGAGAGUUGCAGGACUGCACCUACCAGUUAAGAUAAGCAUAUGCUGCAGAAUGAAUGCCCUUUACACGCACAUGCACGCAAACACACACACACGCAGGUCUCAUUAGCCUGUGUAAUUAUGCAUGGCACGUCCAGUUGGCCAGUGGAGAAGUAAUUAACCUUUUCCAGCAGGAAACAGCAAUCUGGGCGUCUGACACACUCACAUGCACGCACACACGUCUGGUGUCACGGAAAUAAAGUGUCAAAGACAGCGGCUGGCAUUCAAUGAUAAUCCCCUCACGCAUAUUUCCAUCCAAGGCUUAAAACACUAAUAAUGCCAAAUUACCUCUCCUCUCCCUUUAUCUUCCCUCCUUUCUCUUUCUCCCUCUUCUUGUCCCCAAGUCCUUCUCUGUCUUUCUCCCUCCCUCCCUCCCUCCCUCCCUCCCUCCCUCCC
Non-coding RNA from Oncorhynchus mykiss (rainbow trout), 1703 nucleotides. Lineage: Eukaryota; Metazoa; Chordata; Actinopteri; Salmoniformes; Salmonidae. The record is from RefSeq and is a predicted model, not a curated record.